AAAGCUUGAAAUUGUGACUGCAUAACGACCGUCAACUGGCCCCCGAUUAUACUCCAACCCGUGACCACAUCACAGCCUCCGACUAGGAAUUGCACUUAGACUUCGACCCGUGACUAUAUCAAGCACUGUCGCCCUAAAACCUAACUUUCAUAGGAUGAGUUUCUGAGGUAAUGGUCCUAUCCUAGCAUGACAUAUGAAAUGUAUGUGUUUUGAGAUGCGUUGUUGCAUCCCCGAC
RNAcentral lists this long non-coding RNA (235 nucleotides) under Gossypium barbadense (sea-island cotton). Its description in RNAcentral is "long non-coding RNA (GBAR_LNC015557)". Lineage: Eukaryota; Viridiplantae; Streptophyta; Magnoliopsida; Malvales; Malvaceae. The record is from RNAcentral.